CCUGGCUCAGACUGAACGCUGGCGGCGCGCCUAACACAUGCAAGUCGAACGAGAGAUGAGGAGCUUGCUCUUCAAAUCGAGUGAGCGAACGGGUGAGUAACGCGUGAGGAACCUGCCUCAAAGAGGGGGACAACAGUUGGAAACGACUGCUAAUACCGCAUAAGCCCACGGCUCGGCAUCGAGCAGAGGGAAAAGGAGCAAUCCGCUUUGAGAUGGCCUCGCGUCCGAUUAGCUAGUUGGUGAGGUAACGGCCCACCAAGGCAACGAUCGGUAGCCGGACUGAGAGGUUGAACGGCCACAUUGGGACUGAGACACGGCCCAGACUCCUACGGGAGGCAGCAGUGGGGAAUAUUGCACAAUGGGGGAAACCCUGAUGCAGCGACGCCGCGUGGAGGAAGAAGGUCUUCGGAUUGUAAACUCCUGUUGUUGAGGAAGAUAAUGACGGUACUCAACAAGGAAGUGACGGCUAACUACGUGCCAGCAGCCGCGGUAAAACGUAGGUCACAAGCGUUGUCCGGAAUUACUGGGUGUAAAGGGAGCGCAGGCGGGAGAACAAGUUGGAAGUGAAAUCCAUGGGCUCAACCCAUGAACUGCUUUCAAAACUGUUUUUCUUGAGUAGUGCAGAGGUAGGCGGAAUUCCCGGUGUAGCGGUGGAAUGCGUAGAUAUCGGGAGGAACACCAGUGGCUAAGGCGGCCUACUGGGCACCAACUGACGCUGAGGCUCGAAAGUGUGGGUAGCAAACAGGAUUAGAUACCCUGGUAGUCCACACCGUAAACGAUGAUUACUAGGUGUUGGAGGAUUGACCCCUUCAGUGCCGCGUUAACACAAUAAGUAAUCCACCUGGGGAGUACGACCGCAAGGUUGAAACUCAAAGGAAUUGACGGGGGCCCGCACAAGCAGUGGAGUAUGUGGUUUAAUUCGACGCAACGCGAAGAACCUUACCAAGUCUUGACAUCCUGCGACGCACAUAGAAAUAUGUGUUUCCUUCGGGACGCAGAGACAGGUGGUGCAUGGUUGUCGUCAGCUCGUGUCGUGAGAUGUUGGGUUAAGUCCCGCAACGAGCGCAACCCUUAUGGUCAGUUACUACGCAAGAGGACUCUGGCCAGACUGCCGUUGACAAAACGGAGGAAGGUGGGGAUGACGUCAAAUCAUCAUGCCCUUUAUGACUUGGGCUACACACGUACUACAAUGGCGUUAAACAAAGAGAAGCAAGACCGCGAGGUGGAGCAAAACUCAGAAACAACGUCCCAGUUCGGACUGCAGGCUGCAACUCGCCUGCACGAAGUCGGAAUUGCUAGUAAUCGUGGAUCAGCAUGCCACGGUGAAUACGUUCCCGGGCCUUGUACACACCGCCC
RNAcentral lists this ribosomal RNA (1356 nucleotides) under uncultured bacterium. RNAcentral's name for it is "bacterial SSU rRNA". It matches the Rfam family "Bacterial small subunit ribosomal RNA", at positions 18 to 1395 of the family's 1533-position model. The record is from RNAcentral.